This 903-nucleotide ribosomal RNA is filed under the name uncultured bacterium. RNAcentral describes it as "bacterial SSU rRNA". It matches the Rfam family "Bacterial small subunit ribosomal RNA", at positions 1 to 900 of the family's 1533-position model. The record is from RNAcentral.
UAGAGUUUGAUCCUGGCUCAGGAUGAACGCUAGCUACAGGCUUAACACAUGCAAGUCGAGGGGCAGCGAUGAAGAAAGCUUGCUUUCUUCAGGCGGCGACCGGCGCACGGGUGAGUAACGCGUAUCGAACCUGCCUCAUACUCAGGAAUAGCCUUGCGAAAGUAAGAUUAAUGCCCGAUGUUAUUAGGAUAUCACAUGAUGUUUUAAUUAAAGAUUUAUCGGUAUGAGAUGGCGAUGCGUCCCAUUAGCUUGUUGGCGGGGUAACGGCCCACCAAGGCAUCGAUGGGUAGGGGUUCUGAGAGGAAGGUCCCCCACAUUGGAACUGAGACACGGUCCAAACUCCUACGGGAGGCAGCAGUGAGGAAUAUUGGUCAAUGGACGCAAGUCUGAACCAGCCAAGUAGCGUGCAGGAAGACGGCCCUCUGGGUUGUAAACUGCUUUUAGUUGGGAAUAAAGUGCAUCACGUGUGAUGUUUUGUAUGUACCAUCAGAAAAAGGACCGGCUAAUUCCGUGCCAGCAGCCGCGGUAAUACGGAAGGUCCAGGCGUUAUCCGGAUUUAUUGGGUUUAAAGGGAGCGCAGGCGGACCUUUAAGUCAGCUGUGAAAUACGGCGGCUCAACCGUCGAACUGCAGUUGAUACUGGAGGUCUUGAGUGCACACAGGGAUACUGGAAUUCAUGGUGUAGCGGUGAAAUGCUCAGAUAUCAUGAAGAACUCCGAUCGCGAAGGCAGGUAUCCGGGGUGCAACUGACGCUGAGGCUCGAAAGUGCGGGUAUCAAACAGGAUUAGAUACCCUGGUAGUCCGCACAGUAAACGAUGAAUACUCGCGAUUUGCGAUACACAGUAAGUCGCCAAGCGAAAGCGUUAAGUAUUCCACCUGGGGAGUACGCCGGCAACGGUGAAAC